CACGCGCCGCCUGCGGCCUUAAAGGGGCAGCGCGCACCUGCGUUCCCGUGGGCUCUACGGCAGGAGGGCAGCCAAUGGCCACGGACAGCUUCAGAACGAAGAGCGGAAGUGGUUUGCAGUAGAGAGGAGUACAGAAAGUCAGCCACCCAGGGAGAAAACUGGCACCAAAGAACAUGUCACCCAUACAGCAAAGCUGGGGUUACCUGUAUAGCAUCAAAGCUGCAAUCACCAUCAAAAUCAACAGAAUACUGAGGAGCCCACCGAUGGCGUAGCUGAUGUGAAGUCCUUCACCUAGGAGAACAGGCAGGGAAUAAGGAAACCACCCAGAGGGAGUGUCCUGAUGGUACACUUGCAACGCUCAGGAGGUAACUCUGGCAUAUUAUGGCAAGCAAUUGGAGGCACCUCCCAACAGCCUUGAAAAAAGCCCUACAGUACAAGAGCAUCUGAAGCCAAGAUACAAUGAAUCUUCAACUGGAACUCCAGUGAGAAAGGCCUGAGGAAGUGACAUGGUGAGCAACUGUAAUCCCAGCACUUGGAGGAUCCCAAGUGUGAGGACAGCCUAAGCUACAUACCGUGCCUGUCUGGAAUAAAAGUUCAGGUGGAAGGAGAGGUGGGGUGCAUAGGAUCAGGGUAUAUAUGUGUGAAAUUAUUAAAAAAUAGCUAAAAAGUGAAAUACUAUUAUGAUUGUUAUUAUUAUUUCUUCAAUUGUGGGACACAUGCACAUAAAAAGGGCUUAUUAACGAGAAAAAAAUAGAGGAGACUGUUUUCUUUUAUCACCUAUGUUCUGCUUAGUUAUGUGGGAAGGUGUUUUUCUUUAAAGUUAUAUCACACUUAAAUAAUCAAAACAUUUAUUACCAUAGACUAUAAAGAAAUAACAAGGGAGGCUGGGCAGUGGAUCU
Molecule: long non-coding RNA, 899 nt
Organism: Onychomys torridus (southern grasshopper mouse)
Lineage: Eukaryota; Metazoa; Chordata; Mammalia; Rodentia; Cricetidae
Exons: 3
Source: RefSeq, a predicted model, not a curated record